RNAcentral lists this ribosomal RNA (407 nucleotides) under uncultured bacterium. RNAcentral describes it as "partial 16S ribosomal RNA". It matches the Rfam family "Bacterial small subunit ribosomal RNA", at positions 30 to 526 of the family's 1533-position model. The record is from RNAcentral.
AUUGAACGCUGGCGGCAGGCCUAACACAUGCAAGUCGAGCGGAGCGGCGGACGGGUACGUAAUGCCUAGGAAUCUGCCUGGUAGUGGGGGAUAACGUCCGGCAACGGGAGCUAAUACCGCAUAAUAUCAGAUGAGCCUAGGGCGGAUUAGCUAGUUGGGGGGGUAAAGGCCUACCAAGGCGACGAUCCGUAACUGGUCUGAGAGGAUGAUCAGUCACAUGGGAACUGGGACACGGUCAGAACUCCAACGGGAGGCAGCAGUGGGGAAUAUGGGACAAUGGGCGAAAGCCUGAUCCAGCCAUGCCGCGGGUGUGAAGCAGGUUUUCGGAUUGUAAAGCACUUUAAGUUGGGAGGCGUUACCAACAUAAUAAGCACCGGCUAACUUCGUGCCAGCAGCCGCGGUAAUUC